RNAcentral lists this ribosomal RNA (451 nucleotides) under uncultured bacterium. Its description in RNAcentral is "bacterial SSU rRNA". It matches the Rfam family "Bacterial small subunit ribosomal RNA", at positions 40 to 507 of the family's 1533-position model. The record is from RNAcentral.
CGGCGCGCUUAAUACAUGCAAGUCGAACGAGAAGCCAGAGCUUGCUCUGGUGGAAAGUGGCGAACGGGUGAGUAACACGUGAGAAACCUGCCCCAAAGAUUGGGAUAAGCCUUGGAAACGAGGUCUAAUACCAAAUACCUUCCUUUUAACACAUGUUAAAAAGAAGAAAUGCUCCGGCGCUUUGGGAUGGUCUCGCGAUCUAUCAGCUUGUUGGUGAGGUAACGGCUCACCAAGGCAUCGACGGAUAGCUGGUCUGAGAGGAUGUCCAGCCACAUUGGAACUGAGACACGGUCCAAACUCCUACGGGAGGCAGCAGUAGGGAAUCUUGCACAAUGAGGGAAACCUUGAUGCAGCGACGCCGCGUGCGGGACGAAGGCCCUAGGGUUGUAAACCGCUUUCAGUAGGGACGAAAGUGACGGUACCUACAGAAGAAGCCCCGGCCAACUAUGUG